This 912-nucleotide long non-coding RNA is filed under the name Struthio camelus australis. RNAcentral describes it as "lncRNA (ENSSCUG00000000999.1)". Lineage: Eukaryota; Metazoa; Chordata; Aves; Struthioniformes; Struthionidae. The record is from RNAcentral.
CCCCCUUGCUGAGAGCUCGCAGACAGAAAUGAGGAGGAGCUUUUGUUGCUGAAUGUGAACAGUCUGACAGCCUUAAGCCCAACCUGGGCAUUCUCCUAGAGAUUUGGUGAUGUUUGUGUUGUAUGUCCACAUGUUGUUUAGGCUCUGCAGGUAUGAGGAACUUCCUGGUGGGCUUUAACAGAAGACUCACUACCUAAUAUCUUUGUUGAAUCCGCUAAAGGCCUUUUCUGAUUGAUGAAAACGUUCAUGUCCUUGCUGAGGAUGGCCUGAGUCACGCUGUCAGUUUGCGAUACUGUGCUGUCCACACGUGUUCUCUGACAAAGGCAUAAAGGCUGCUGAAGCUAAUGUGUUGGAGCACACAGUUAUUUGCAACUGAGCUGCAUAGGCUUAACUCUGUAGAUGGAGACAAACGAGGGACACCAAGAGCCAAUGCCAGAGGGAAAUCCCUGAUCCGAACCUGUGGAUGGAUUAGAAGAGCUCAGGGGCUGAAAAGCAGGACAUGCGUAAGGUAUCUCUGAAGCUGAAAUAGCACAGGCUCUGGAGGGCCUUUCCCUGUGUCGGUAGCCUUGCUGGGAACGAGCCUGCUGGGGAGUGACAAGGCAGAGGUAAUUCUUAGCAACAGAGGCAGUGAGUUCCUCAGUUGUGGACUAGUCCUUGCAGAAGCUUGCAGAACGCAAACUUUCACUUUUAAAAUAGCAUUGACUCUUCCUUGUGUUGGAGAGAUCAUCCCAGGGUGGCCCCAGAGCUGAAUGUGCUGCUAGAGGAGAGAUUCCAGAGGUCUCCAUUUCACUGGGAUACUGGCUCUUUCAUGGCUUGACCUUUGUAAACCUCCCCUUACAAGCAAUGGAAGAUGUGCCACAGAUCAAAGGUAUUUUAACUUGGCUGCCUCUGUCAACCUUAGAGUGUAAUUAG